Molecule: ribosomal RNA, 371 nt
Filed under: uncultured organism
Description: bacterial SSU rRNA
Rfam family: Bacterial small subunit ribosomal RNA
Source: RNAcentral
CAGAGGGUGCGAGCGUUAAUCGGAAUUACUGGGCGUAAAGCGCGCGUAGGCGGCUUUGCAAGUCGAGUGUGAAAUCCCCAGGCUUAACCUGGGAACUGCUCUCGAGACUGCAUAGCUAGAGUAUGGGAGAGGGAAGUGGAAUUUCAGGUGUAGCGGUGAAAUGCGUAGAUAUCUGAAGGAACAUCAGUGGCGAAAGCGACUUCCUGGACCAAUACUGACGCUCAUGUGCGAAAGCGUGGGGAGCAAACAGGAUUAGAUACCCUGGUAGUCCACGCCAUAAACGAUGACAACUGGAUGUCGGGAGGGUCUGCCUCUCGGUGUCGUAGCUAACGCGUUAAGUUGUCCGCCUGGGGAGUACGGCCGCAAGGUUG